This 171-nucleotide ribosomal RNA is filed under the name uncultured Enterobacteriaceae bacterium. Its description in RNAcentral is "partial 16S ribosomal RNA". It matches the Rfam family "Bacterial small subunit ribosomal RNA", at positions 357 to 529 of the family's 1533-position model. Lineage: Bacteria; Pseudomonadati; Pseudomonadota; Gammaproteobacteria; Enterobacterales; Enterobacteriaceae. The record is from RNAcentral.
GAGGAGUUAGGGGCGCAGCCUGAUGCAGCCAUGCCGCGUGUAUGAAGAAGGCCUUCGGGUUGUAAAGUACUUUCAGCGGGGAGGAAGGGAGUAAAGUUAAUACCUUUGCUCAUUGACGUUACCCGCAGAGGAAGCACCGGCUAACUUAGUGCCAGCAGCCGCGAUAAUAGA